ACCUGCACCCAGUGCUUCCUAUAUGAACUCCAUCCCUGACACUUCGCCAAAGGAGUGGUGUGUCUACGUGGAUGAAUCAAGUCAGGAUCAAAGGAUUUUACAGAGCCUCCAUGUUAUUUUCCCGCCGUUUAACAGUCAUACAGGGAGAAAUCCUUCACAAGGGAGGAAACACAGAAACCAAUUUCUGCACCCUGAGGGGCAGGAAAUCAGGCAAAAUGCAAUUCAGCAACAAGACAGUUUGAAGAAGAAUGCAUUCUGGGAAACAGGAAAUCACCGCAGCAGAUGAGGGGAGCAGAAAAAAUGAGCGCACCAGAAAACUACACCGAAAAUCACCCAACCAGAGAGAAGCCCAGGAUGUUUGUGCCUGUGAAAGUCCAGCACCAGCUCCUUGGUUGUUCCAGAGUUGAUUGAGUCCUCAGCCAUCUGCUUUGGCCUGAGGAAGGUCAACCCACCAAAGAAUCGCCACCAUAAUACACUGGAGGGGUCUUACAGCUUACAGCCGUAUUAGCUGGACCAACACUCCCUACCAGGUUCUCCCAAGCCUGUCUUUUAUCCUGUCUACCUUCUCUCUCCCCAGCCCGUCACACCAGAUGGCCGGCCCUCCCUAAGCCUGGUUCUGCUGGAGGUUUCUUCAUGUUAAAAGGGAGUUUUCCUUCGCACUGCUGCCAAAGUGCUUGCUCGUAAGGGUCAUAUGAUUGUCAUGUUUUUGUUAUGUUUGUUGGGAUAUAUGUUGCUUCAUAUGCAAGAAAAGCCACUGUGCUUCCAUAAAAUGAUGGGUCUAUAAUUUCAUCCUGACCACACAAUAAAUAUCUUGUUUAUUAAUCAGUAAAUGAUCACAAAGCACUUUGGGCUCUUUAGUUAUUCCAUCGCUGAAGUUUGAGAUGAGAAGUUACAUUUUCAGUUAGCAGCAGCUCAUUGGAUCACUGCGGGGCUGUUUUACCUCUCUAAUAACAGGCUUGGUGUCGCCACUGCAGCUCCAGCCAUUUGUCUCCAGACUAAUGGUGUUUACAAGCCCCUGAUGCACACUUAAAUUGUUUUUUAAAUCAUGUUUAACUGGCCCGUUCCUCGUCUUUAGCCAUUUUGUUCCUUAUCGUGCAUUCUCCAUCUCACCAUCGCAUCAGCACUCCUCUGGGACUCACUGUAUUGCGAAAUUUCUUCCAAAUCACAGCAGAGCUCUGCCAUUAUUAAAGUGCCUGUCUGAGGUCCAGCUGUCUGUCUCUGAGUGUGCACACACAUCAUAUGAUAAUGUGUUUUUAGGCUGUGACUCUGUCAUUUGCCGCAGAGCCCACUGAUGUCGGGUGAAAUGCAUCUCUAUCAGGUGUCCUCAGCAAACCCCUGUGUCCUUAUCGACGCUUCAUCUCUGUGAUGUUAACGGAGCCACUUAUCACCUGAUCUUAUUAAUCUGAGAGCAACACCAGCCUGCUCUCUCACGUUAUCAGUGUGAUUUAUCUCUCAGGAGAAGCAGGUCUAAUCUGAUAGAUAUUACACUUGAAUUAACCCUUCAGGAGCUACUUCAGUGAUCGAUACAAGCCUUUGCUAUUAAAUAAAAAGCUGAGAACAAACAUCUGCUGCCAUCGAGUGGUUUGUAUGAAUCGGAUUUAGAUUAAUUUGUUACUGUAACUGUUUACAAACAGAAUCUCAGUUUCAGUAUGAAAUGGUAAUGAAUAAUGUCUUUCUAUUGGAGUCCUAAAUGAUUUUGAUUAACAGCUGUCGACAGGGUGACCACAUACCAGCAAAGUAAAUGUGGAACAAAUUA
Molecule: long non-coding RNA, 1756 nt
Organism: Oreochromis niloticus (Nile tilapia)
Lineage: Eukaryota; Metazoa; Chordata; Actinopteri; Cichliformes; Cichlidae
Exons: 4
Source: RefSeq, a predicted model, not a curated record